GUGGGGAUGGUGUAACUGGUUAACAUCUUGGUCUCCAAAGCCAAAGAAUCUAGGUUCAAAUCCUAGUCCCCACG
Molecule: transfer RNA, 74 nt
Filed under: Nostoc sp. FACHB-888
Lineage: Bacteria; Bacillati; Cyanobacteriota; Cyanophyceae; Nostocales; Nostocaceae
Rfam family: tRNA
About the family: Transfer RNA (tRNA) molecules are approximately 80 nucleotides in length. Their secondary structure includes four short double-helical elements and three loops (D, anti-codon, and T loops).
Source: Rfam by way of RNAcentral